RNAcentral lists this ribosomal RNA (253 nucleotides) under uncultured bacterium. Its description in RNAcentral is "partial 16S ribosomal RNA". It matches the Rfam family "Bacterial small subunit ribosomal RNA", at positions 524 to 776 of the family's 1533-position model. The record is from RNAcentral.
GACAGAGGGUGCAAACGUUGUUCAGAAUUACUGGGCGUAAAGCGCGUGUAGGCGGCCCUGCAAGUCGGGUGUGAAAUCCCACGGCUCAACCGUGGAAGUGCACUCGAAACUGCAGGGCUAGAGUCCUGGAGAGGAAGGUGGAAUGCUUGGUGUAGAGGUGAAAUUCGUAGAUAUCAAGCGGAACACCGGUGGCGAAGGCGGCCUUCUGGACAGUGACUGACGCUGAGACGCGAAAGCGUGGGGAGCAAACAGG